RNAcentral lists this ribosomal RNA (547 nucleotides) under uncultured bacterium. Its description in RNAcentral is "bacterial SSU rRNA". It matches the Rfam family "Bacterial small subunit ribosomal RNA", at positions 355 to 896 of the family's 1533-position model. The record is from RNAcentral.
UGGGGAAUAUUGCGCAAUGGGGGGAACCCUGACGCAGCCAUGCCGCGUGAAUGAAGAAGGCCUUAGGGUUGUAAAGUUCUUUCGGUAUUGAGGAGGGUUGAUGUGUUAAUAGCACAUCAAAUUGACGUUAAAUACAGAAGAAGCACCGGCUAACUCCGUGCCAGCAGCCGCGGUAAUACGGAGGGUGCGAGCGUUAAUCGGAAUAACUGGGCGUAAAGGGCACGCAGGCGGUUAUUUAAGUGAGGUGUGAAAGCCCCGGGCUUAACCUGGGAAUUGCAUUUCAGACUGGGUAACUAGAGUACUUUAGGGAGGGGUAGAAUUCCACGUGUAGCGGUGAAAUGCGUAGAGAUGUGGAGGAAUACCGAAGGCGAAGGCAGCCCCUUGGGAAUGUACUGACGCUCAUGUGCGAAAGCGUGGGGAGCAAACAGGAUUAGAUACCCUGGUAGUCCACGCUGUAAACGCUGUCGAUUUGGGGGUUGGGGUUUAACUCUGGCGCCCGUAGCUAACGUGAUAAAUCGACCGCCUGGGGAGUACGGCCGCAAGGUUA